GAUGAACGCUGGCGGCGUGCCUAAUACAUGCAAGUCGAGCGAACGGACGAGAAGCUUGCUUCUCUGAUGUUAGCGGCGGACGGGUGAGUAACACGUGGAUAACCUACCUAUAAGACUGGGAUAACUUCGGGAAACCGGAGCUAAUACCGGAUAAUAUUUUGAACCGCAUGGUUCAAAAGUGAAAGACGGUCUUGCUGUCACUUAUAGAUGGAUCCGCGCUGCAUUAGCUAGUUGGUAAGGUAACGGCUUACCAAGGCAACGAUGCAUAGCCGACCUGAGAGGGUGAUCAGCCACACUGGAACUGAGACACGGUCCAGACUCCUACGGGAGGCAGCAGUAGGGAAUCUUCCGCAAUGGGCGAAAGCCUGACGGAGCAACGCCGCGUGAGUGAUGAAGGUCUUCGGAUCGUAAAACUCUGUUAUUAGGGAAGAACAUAUGUGUAAGUAACUGUGCACAUCCUGACGGUACCUAAUCAGAAAGCCACGGCUAACUACGUG
This 497-nucleotide ribosomal RNA is filed under the name uncultured bacterium. RNAcentral's name for it is "partial 16S ribosomal RNA". It matches the Rfam family "Bacterial small subunit ribosomal RNA", at positions 28 to 507 of the family's 1533-position model. The record is from RNAcentral.